ACCACUGGGUUGAUAGGCCGGAUGUGGAAGCGAGGACUAACGACUCGUGAAGCUGACCGGUACUAAUAGGCCGAUAACUUACAC
This 84-nucleotide ribosomal RNA is filed under the name Arthrobacter oryzae. RNAcentral's name for it is "partial 23S ribosomal RNA". The record is from RNAcentral. Lineage: Bacteria; Bacillati; Actinomycetota; Actinomycetes; Micrococcales; Micrococcaceae.